GGGAGACAAGCUCAAGCUAUUUGUGACCUAGAGGACUAACCUUGGUCAUCACCAUGAAAUUUAGACUGAGCUGGAUUUUCCUUCUGAGUAUUUUCCAAGGUGUCCAGUGUGAUAUACAGCUGGUGGAGUCUGGGGGAGAUGUGAGACAGCCUGGGGGUUCUCUGCGUCUCUCCUGCAAAGGUUCUGGAUUUACUUUCGGCAACUACGGCAUAAAUUGGGUCCGCCAGGCUCCAGGGAAGGGACUGGAAUGGGUUGCAAGCAUUAAGUACAGUGGUGCUAAUACAUACUACGCAGACUCUGUGAAAGGUCGUUUCACCAUCUCCAGAGAUAAUGGCAACAGCAUGGCAUAUCUACAGAUGAAUUCCCUUAAUACUGGGGAUUCAGCUUUGUAUUACUGUGCAAGUGACACAGUGAUGAAAAGGAAUGUGAGGCCAGACAGAAACUUCCCUUGCCAGGAGGGGAGCACUUCCUCCCAACUAAUGUUGACUCCACUAGCACCACAAGAGAAAUGUUUAGAAAAGAUUUUUGAUGUGGUCAUCAUGGUAGACCCCUUGGAAAGUGAUGAUUCAGCUUCUCUAACCUUAAUGAAGAGACCAGUGUUGGAUGUCAUGUAUACCAAACUCCAAUUUUCAUCACCAAUUCAGUAUGCAAAAUGUAUGUUCACAGAUGUAGAUAUUCUGUUACUGACAAAUAUUGAUGAGAUUUAA
Trichosurus vulpecula (common brushtail) is the source of this 707-nucleotide non-coding RNA. Lineage: Eukaryota; Metazoa; Chordata; Mammalia; Diprotodontia; Phalangeridae. The record is from the annotation of a RefSeq genome assembly.